This 424-nucleotide ribosomal RNA is filed under the name uncultured prokaryote. Its description in RNAcentral is "bacterial SSU rRNA". It matches the Rfam family "Bacterial small subunit ribosomal RNA", at positions 355 to 776 of the family's 1533-position model. The record is from RNAcentral. RNAcentral also lists the same sequence under 1 other name.
UGAGGAAUAUUGGUCAAUGGAGGCAACUCUGAACCAGCCACGUCGCGUGAAGGAUGACGGCCCUAUGGGUUGUAAACUUCUUUUGUAAGGGAAUAAAGUGCAGUACGUGUACUGUUUUGCAUGUACCUUACGAAUAAGGAUCGGCUAACUCCGUGCCAGCAGCCGCGGUAAUACGGAGGAUCCGAGCGUUAUCCGGAUUUAUUGGGUUUAAAGGGUGCGCAGGCGGGGGAUUAGGUCGGCGGUGAAAUAUCAGGGCUCAACCUUGAGAGUGCCGUCGAAACCGGUUUUCUUGAGUGCGGAUGAAGUAGGCGGAAUUUGUGGUGUAGCGGUGAAAUGCAUAGAUAUCACGAGGAACUCCGAUUGCGCAGGCAGCUUACUAGGCCAUAACUGACGCUCAGGCACGAAGGCGUGGGGAUCAAACAGG